UGAAAAGAUAGGUUAGAACAAGGUUAUCACUGCUUCUCUGCAGAAAGGAAGGCUAAACAUCAGGACAAAGUGAACGAGGGACUUGGCUGAUGAACAAAAACCUGAAUGGACUGGAACAUCCCCAGCUAUGGAACUGGACUCUGUGGCUGGACCAGACACAAAUUCAGAAACUCAGACUGUGAGUUUGAGGAUCCAGAAGGGAAGACCAUGCACCAUUCAGAGGAUGAGCACAGACGAGAACACCAGGCCAAGACAAUGCUGGGAGAGCAACAGAUCGCAGUUCAACACUCCCAUCCAGUCUAAAAGAUCUUCAAAGGAUUUGCAAGGCAGAAUUGGAGAAACCGCAUUAAUCCAGAUCCAAAAGAGCAUCACAGUUCCCACCUUCUUACACUUGAAACCUAUUCCAGUGUGACAGGAGCAAGAACACCGGGCUGGUGACAAACACGUGACAAACACAUCACAUCACAUGGAGACAGGUGAAAAGAGCCAAAAGGACGAGAGAAGAGAGGGAAAAGAGAGCAUGGUGUUUAAAAUCAGCACCACAUGGGUAAUUAUUCACACUUAUCAUUGAUGAUAAUUGGACUUUGAACAAGUGGUUUAUAUCGAGAGAAUGACAGAAUCAGAAAUUGCUAUUGUAAUGCCUCCAAGGUUUGAAUCACGUGGAAAUGGGCUUUUUUAUAAGAUUAUGGGCUCCAUUUUCUGCUGGUGUUAUGGCAGCACCAGUGUGAAACACCCUUUUUUCAAUUCCAACAGAAUCCAUCUCUCAGCUUUUUUCUCUAUUGCACAAUGAAUGGAAGUUUACCUUUCUCUUAUCAGCUCGCCAGCACCCUAUGGACGGGAGAUACAGCUCUGGAAAAAAU
Molecule: long non-coding RNA, 860 nt
Organism: Esox lucius (northern pike)
Lineage: Eukaryota; Metazoa; Chordata; Actinopteri; Esociformes; Esocidae
Exons: 4
Source: RefSeq, a predicted model, not a curated record